AUUUGGUGUCAAACGCACCUAGUUGUAAACAAAUGGAAAUUGAAAGUAAAAGUGCAACGGCACGGUAUAUUUUUUCUGGCAUUUUUUGUUUUCCAAUAUCUCGAACUUUCACGACAAAAAGGUGAUUUGCCCGAAAUUCAAUACAUGUAUCAGUGAGAGGGGCUAAAGUUUGUAUGGAAGUCUAUGGGAAAACAUUUGGUGGUGUUUGUCCUAUAGAAUAGCAAUGCAUUAUCAAGAAGGAAGAGAUUAAGGAACCCUACCCUCUUACAAUGAACAACACAUGGACACUCUUGGGAUGAUCCCUUUGCUUUCAUUAAGAGUUCCAAGAUGUUGGUCUGAUUGACUGGGGUGUGAAAUGUAACAGCCAAUGGUGUACUUAAGCUAAGACUGUCAGUCCCAAUAUUCAAGAGGAAAAACCCCUACAUAAACAAAUACAUGGGCGCAGACAUUUUGGACACCCAAAGUUGUGCGGAGGAGAAAAUGCUAGCUGGCGCGUGAUUGGUCAAUAAGAGAAAAGACUUGUUAUGUAUUUGACAAGUGAAAUAAAGUUGAUAAAAAUCUCA
Saccostrea cuccullata (small rock oyster) is the source of this 563-nucleotide long non-coding RNA. RefSeq lists it as uncharacterized. NCBI's taxonomy places the organism in Eukaryota, Metazoa, Mollusca, Bivalvia, Ostreida, Ostreidae. The transcript is spliced from 4 exons. The record is from RefSeq and is a predicted model, not a curated record.